This 4458-nucleotide long non-coding RNA is filed under the name Medicago truncatula (barrel medic). RNAcentral describes it as "long non-coding RNA (MTRU_LNC008085)". Lineage: Eukaryota; Viridiplantae; Streptophyta; Magnoliopsida; Fabales; Fabaceae. The record is from RNAcentral.
AAAACCUCAAAACCUUAACUCGAGGAACCAAACCCAACCAACAAUACUGUACAUACUAUAGUGUUGUUCCUAUAAAUACAUUCAUCAGUGUUUUAACGACUCAUUUUAUUUUGUGUUUCAUUUCAUUUCAUUUUCACUUUGUUAGCUCCGUCUUUCUUUAGAUCUCAGAUCUCUCUGUUUCCAAUGGCUUCCAUCACCACAACCUCCAUGUCCCUCCUCUCCCUCUCCGACCAAUCUAUGGUAUGCUGCAAUAACCCCUUUUUAUCGAUUAAUUAAUCACCCUUGUUUAUUGGAUCUGUUAAAUUAAUUUUUGUCAUGUUAAUUAACAAUAAAAAUUUGAUUUUUUUAUCAGUUUUGAUGCUUGUGGGUGUAAUUUGGACAUGUUGGUAUCAUAGUUCUUUUUUGUUGAUUUAUUUAUGAUCCUAACAAAUGUUGAUUAGUGAUAUGUGUGAUGUUUAUGGUUACUGCAAAUUAUUGUGUUUUUGUGGUUAUAUUAAUUUGGUUAUUUUUGGAUGUGAAAAUAAAAACAGGUUUCUUGUGCUAGGAUCUCUGGUCCAAGUUCUGUUUCCCUUUCAAUUAAGGGAAGGAACUUUCCAUCUAUUGCUUUGCAGCCAAAAGGACGUCGGUUUCAUGUUACAUGCGCGGUAAGAUUUUAAGCCAUAAAUCUUUAUUGAGUUGUAUAAUUGAUCUUGACAUGUUUGGAUGUUGUGUAAAAUUGAAAUUGACAUGUUUGAAUUAUGUUGUGGAAAAUUGAUUUUGACAUGUUUGGUUGUUGUCAUGUAAAAUCUAUUUUGACAUGUUUGGUCAUUGUCGAAUAAAUUUGAUUUUGAAUCUAUAUAAGUAUUGAUUCUAACUUGAAGCUAGAAUUUGGAGCUUUUGCUUCUACAAUUGAAUUUUAGCUUCAAAUUUGUUGUUUAACCCUCUCUUACAUGGAUGUAUAUAAACGUAAAUCACUUUACAUUCAACUCAUUUUUAAUCACAAUCAAUUUUACAAAAUCAGUUUAUUCAAAAUCAUUUUUAUAACCGCAGAAGCAACCAUACACUUAGUUUUAUCAUCUCUAUUUCUUUCGUUAUAGUAUCUUUAUGCUUAGCCUGGGUUUUGGAUUGUUGAGAGUUCAUAUUUCGUCUUUAAUUUCUGGUAAUGAAAGUCCUUAGUUGUACCUAGUUAUCUGCAUUUCAAAAUCUCAUGUUGCUGUUAUCUGUUGAAGAUUUUCAUUUGUGUUGGAGUUAUCAAUGAUGCCUUAUGCUUAUAAUAACUAUUGGCGAUGUGCUUAGAAUUGCAGAAAACCAAAACAAAAUUAUCGGGCAGUUCUAAUGUGGACUGAUGCUGUACUUUUGUGAUAUUUAAAAUGAUAUAACAAGAAUGGACUUUAAUUUUGUGCAGGCUAAACCAGAGACUGUGCAGAAGGUGUGUGACAUUGUCAAGAAACAAUUGGCCCUGUCAGAAGAUUCAACUAUUACUGGAGAGUCUAAAUUUACUGCACUCGGAGCUGAUUCUCUUGACACGGUAUAUUUAUAUCUAUUAUCUACUGAUUCCUGUAGUGGAAAAUUGCAAAUUUGCAAUACUUAAUCAUUCGAAAAAUCUUAACUUUUCAGUUUUUGCUAUUGUUGAUUGUAUCUACUAGCCACUUGAUAUUUGAACUAUGCAUACACAUGUCUUGAUGUUAGGUAUUUUUUUUUUCCUUCCUGUUAUAGGAAGAUCAUAUACAUUAACAUUUAUAUGAUGUAAACUCUUUUUUUACAAAAUACAACAAGUGCUUAAUUAAGUUGUUUGUCCAAACAGAGUCUUGGUCUGUAUCCUGCUUGACAUGAUAAUUUUUAAAGAAGUUACUCUUACUGCUUAAUUAAGAAGUUACCAUAUACCUAUACAUCAAAGUCACACUACCCUUACUGCUUGAGCUAUUUGAUCAUAUGGCAUGCUAUAUCUGAUUAUUUGAUUCAUACCAGGAAAAUCAGAACAGUGUCUGGUUUACAUUUUACGAUCUUUUGCCCGAUUAAUUAGACUUACAUUUCAAAUUUUGUGCAGGUUGAGAUUGUGAUGGGACUUGAGGAGGAAUUUGGCAUUAGUGUGGAAGAAGAAAGUGCUCAGACCAUCACCACCGUUCAAGAAGCUGCUGACAUGAUUGACAAGCUUCUUGAGACCAAGGCUUAAGCUAGCAAAGAGGAGGCCUUACGCGUCUAUGUUGGAGUUUUUUUCUUUUCGUUAUGCGAUCUUCGGUGUUUCAGUUUGAUUGAACUUUCAUGUAACUGCUACAUAUUUUCUGGACCGUAUUAGAAUUACAAUAAUACUAGUUUUGUAGAACUUGUCUCUUUCUUUACCUAUAAAAUGAAAUUUGCUCCUAAAUCACAAGUAUUUGCUGUCAUGAGAUAUCAUGUGUUCCCUACUUCAAAAUAUUUACCUCUCAUUCUCCCAAUUCUGGCAAGAAUAGUUAUUAUAGAUUCGCAUGGCCAAAAAUAUAAUGAUUAGGAUCCAAGGCCUAAAAGAAUGGGUGCUGCUGAUCAUUGAAUUAGGUGCAAAGUAUCUGAUUAGAAUUAGGAUGCUAUCUUCUUAUUUGCAAAAAGGACUCUGGAGGUUAAUCCUACUGCUGGAUUAAAACAAUGGUCAGAUUUUGUAUUUGAUUAUGCUCUCUUGACAUAGAUCAACACUCCAGGCAAAUUUUUGGAUGAGCUGUUAGUUACGAAUUUUUUGGUGGCACUGUGAUGUUAUUCAAGCUCUGUUCAUCUUUGUUAUCACUUUAAAUUUGUCAAUUGUCAAAAUCAUGGUGGUUUGCAGUAAUUUUGGUGAACUCACUAUUAUACCGAACAUAUACUCUAAAGUGCAGCUUUUAUCCAAAGAUAAAAUUGGAAAAACGCAGGACGCAUGAGAAUGACAUAGGAUGGAAAAAGUAAUAGUCUAAUUAUAUUUCGGUCUCCCACUUUCCUUCUAUGUCUUGGUUCGUAAUCCUUUGCGGAUCUCCAUGGCUUCGGUAGAAAUGCCAUAAAAAAGAAGAUAUUAUUGUAAUUCUUUCGACAAAAAUAUACAUCAUAUAUAAGAUAAAUUUAUACACAUAUCGUGUGAAAAGAUAAAUAAAUCUAUGUACCAGAAAAAAAAAAAUUCCAACAUAUAAAAUAUUUUAAUAUCUACUCCCUGCAAUCCUUAUUAUAAGAAAUUUUUCACUUUUUAGAUUUAUUAAGCAACGAAUUGAACAACUAAUAUAUAUGAUUAAUAUUUUUUUUGGUAGUGAUAUGAUUAAUAUUAUAGACAAUAUACAUCAGUUAUUCAGUAAAUUUAAAAAAUAAAUUUAUUGUUAAAAUAGGGAUCAAAGGGAGUAAAUAUAAAGAUUAUUUAGUCAAUUAUUCUUGAUGGGUUUCCUGUACAACAAGUGUAUGAUCUUAUCCCAAACAUUCAUGUGGGGACUUUCUCCCCCUUUUGAGAAAAAACUCAUCACUCGCAGAAUCCUAAAAAGAGAAGUUUUUACGAAGAUUUUCAUUUGUUAAAACAAAUUGACAUCUCUGUUUAUGUAGAUUGAUUAAUUAAGCAUUCUGAUUUAACUUUUUUAUUUGAAAAAAUUGACUUUAAAUUUUAAUAUACACUAAAUAAAGUGUUUAGAAUGCUCUUCAAACUCUAACUUUAGUCUAUGCGAGCUUUAAUAUAUAUAUAUAUAUAUUUGUCAAAAGAAAACUAUAACAAUAUUGAAUACGGCUUAACUUACUAGCUUAAAUGACCCAUAAAAAUAGAAAAAUGUGAGUUAAAAGUGAUUUCUACAUAAAUUGAUUUGAAUAUACUUGUGGUGUAAAAUAGUGAGUUGAUCGAAAAAUUGUUUAUUUGGUUUUACGAUGAAAAAAAAGAAUUUUCACUGAAUUGAUUUUGUUUGAAAUUGACUUUAAGUUAAAAUAAUUUACGUUUAAAUAUGUUAUCAAGGAAGUGAUUGGUACAAUAUAUGUAAUAAUCACAUUUAAAUAGAAAAGUUACAUUACACAUCCUAAGUUCAAAUUAAAAUUUGUUCUCCUAUUAUAAAUUCAAUUAUAAAACCUUAAUACAAGUUUAUAAGUUAUUUAAAAAAAAAAAACAAGCUUAUGGACAUUAUCAAAGAGAGCCUCCCUAGUUUUGGUACACAACAUAAGUUAAGUAAGUAGGUUCAACAUUUCUAUCGAUUAAAUUUUUAGACUUUCUCACAAGUAAGUUAUAACAAACAAACACUCACACGUGCCAGCUUCGAAAGUAUCGAAAGGAAAGUUGGAAAAACCUCAAAACCUCAACCAAACCCAACAAACAAUGUUGUUCCUAUAAAUAUAAAUACAUUCGUCAGUGUUUUAGCAACUCAUUUCAUUUUCACUUUGUUAGCUCCGUCCUGUCCUUCCUUGUUUAGAUCUCAGAUCUCUCUCUCUCUCUCUCUCUCUCUCUCUCUCUCUCUCUACAAUGGCUUCCAUCACUUCAACCUCCAUGUCCCUCCUUUCCCUCUCCAACCAAUCUAUGGU